UAUAAAAACCCAACAUCGUUCACGACGAAGCUACGAUUCUUUUGGUCACGAAUCCCAAGACGAAGAUUCCGAAAAGAAAGGAAUUGUAAAAAGCAAACAUAGUCUUCAACGAAGCCACAUAUCCUUACUUCAUAAAUCCCAAGAUGACGAUUCCGAAAAGAAAGAAAUCAUAAAAAGCAAACAUAGUCUUCAACGCAGCCACGCAUCUUUACGUUAUGAAUCCCAAGACGAUUCUGGAAAGAAAGAAAUCAUAAAAAGCAAACAUAGUCUUCGCCGAAGCGGUGCAUCUCUACGUCAUGAAUCCCAAGACGAUUCUGAAAAGAAAGAAAUCAUAAAGAGCAAACAUAGUCUUCAACGUAGCCACGCAUCUCUACGUCUUGAAUCUCAAG
Drosophila navojoa is the source of this 389-nucleotide long non-coding RNA. NCBI's taxonomy places the organism in Eukaryota, Metazoa, Arthropoda, Insecta, Diptera, Drosophilidae. The record is from RefSeq and is a predicted model, not a curated record.